Ciona intestinalis (vase tunicate) is the source of this 969-nucleotide non-coding RNA. The record is from RefSeq and is a predicted model, not a curated record. Lineage: Eukaryota; Metazoa; Chordata; Ascidiacea; Phlebobranchia; Cionidae.
GCGGUUUGAUUCCAGCGGCGGCGACGACGACGACGACGGCGGUGAUGAUGAUAGUGAUAGUGGUGAUGAUGAUGCCAGUGGCGGCGACGACGCCUACGACGACGAAAGAGCCAUCCCGCCUCGGUUUCUAGAAGUAUCUGAGAGACAAGCAGCAGUAGAAGCAACAACGCCAAGCGGUUCAUCUUGGUUGAUCUGACUUCAAAUGAACAGUUGCCUGAACGUUUAUUCCUAACUGCUGGCAAACACCAAGAUUCUAAUAAUCUUUUCCGGUUGGAUAAUGCGAAGAACUGCCUGAAUGGUUCCUCGAACUCUGUUAUGUUGUUUUGAAGCAAAUAAUACUUUGGGAGCAGUCGCUAAAUUGUCAGGAAACAAAUCGCAGAUGAAUGUAUCAACAUGCAAGUUCAAAAAUGCAACUGACAAUGCAUCUAAGGUUGGCCAUCAAAUACAAUACAGGUGCUGGUGUCAAUGUAACGUUUUCUAUUUUAGAGGUUUUAACAGACAAGGUCAUGCUAUGUUAUGAAAGUUAUAAUAUGCUCAAAUUAUACAUGCUGUAUUCAUUCAUUUAUUCAUUCCAUUUUUAAUGCCUGCUUGCAGUACUCCGGUUUAUAAUAUUAUAAAACAUAUAAAUAUGGCAUAAGUAAUUUUAUUUGCGAAAAAUUGUAGCAGUUAAGUAAAAAAGAAUUGCAUAUGUGUUUAUUUUCAUUGACAAGAUUACAAAAAAUGAACAACACAUUGAACUAAAGCAUUUGUGUUGGACAAAUUGGAAGCACGUAACAAUUAAAAAGUAAUAUACCAGUACUUAAAUAGCAACAAUAUUUAAAGUUUAUUCUGUACUCUGGCUGCACUGGCAUUGAACACUGCAUGUGCCUCAUUAAAAUGGGGCUGGGUGGCAGCUUUGGCACGCUGGAACCAUUCGCGCAACUUCGGGUGGCCUUCAAAGAUGUCUCUACCACUCAUAGUUGGUUGCAU